GAUGCGACGUUACGAAAAAAAAUUUAAAAACAUACAAAUUUAUAAGAAUAAAAAAAAAACUGCACAACGAAGGACAUUUUUUCGCCGUGCUGUUGCCAAAGUAUAUUAUUACCUGUGUUUUGUGUUCUGGGACACCGACUUCAAGAUUUGGAAGAUUGGCGCGAAGAUUGUACCAUAGAGCGUUUGGAUAUUAGAAGUUUGUCAUUCUGAGCAACAGGAAGAACAUGACAUCAACAUGCGACGCACUCUGGCUCUUUGUGCGCUUCCAGUGUAUCUCCGGGAGGAUGACACUGAAUUCUUCAAAACCUGUAAUGGUGAAGAUGAGGUGGAGAUCACUGACACCCAGCUAGCGCUCCUCUCUGUGGUCCCUGAC
This is a long non-coding RNA of Larimichthys crocea (large yellow croaker), 373 nucleotides long. RefSeq lists it as uncharacterized. The transcript is spliced from 4 exons. NCBI's taxonomy places the organism in Eukaryota, Metazoa, Chordata, Actinopteri, Sciaenidae. The record is from RefSeq and is a predicted model, not a curated record.